GAUGAACGCUGGCGGCGUGUUUAACACAUGCAAGUCGAACGAAGCACCUUAUUCUGAUUUCUUCGGAAUGAAAAAUUUGGUGACUGAGUGGCGGACGGAUGAGUAACGCGUGGGUAACCUGCCUCAUACAGGGGGAUAACAGUUAGAAAUGACUGCUAAUACCGCAUAAGACCACAGCACCGCAUGGUGCAGGGGUAAAAACUCCGGUGGUAUGAGAUGGACCCGCGUCUGAUUAGGUAGUUGGUGGGGUAACGGCCUACCAAGCCGACGAUCAGUAGCCGACCUGAGAGGGUGACCGGCCACAUUGGGACUGAGACACGGCCCAAACUCCUACGGGAGGCAGCAGUGGGGAAUAUUGCACAAUGGGGGAAACCCUGAUGCAGCGACGCCGCGUGAGCGAUGAAGUAUUUCGGUAUGUAAAGCUCUAUCAGCAGGGAAGAAAAUGACGGUACCUGACUAAGAAGCACCGGCUAAAUACGUGCCAGCAGCCGCCGUAA
This 497-nucleotide ribosomal RNA is filed under the name uncultured bacterium. RNAcentral's name for it is "partial 16S ribosomal RNA". It matches the Rfam family "Bacterial small subunit ribosomal RNA", at positions 28 to 523 of the family's 1533-position model. The record is from RNAcentral.